AGAGUUUGAUCAUGGCUCAGGACGAACGCUGGCGGCGUGCCUAAUACAUGCAAGUCGAGCGGUCCCUUCGGGGAUAGCGGCGGACGGGUGAGUAACACGUAGGUAACCUGCCUGUAAGACCGGGAUAACUAUCGGAAACGAUAGCUAAGACCGGAUAGCUGGUUUCUCGCAUGAGAGAAUCAUGAAACACGGGGCAACCU
Molecule: ribosomal RNA, 200 nt
Filed under: uncultured bacterium
Lineage: Bacteria
Description: partial 16S ribosomal RNA
Rfam family: Bacterial small subunit ribosomal RNA
Source: RNAcentral